ACACACAUCUGCACAUACACAAGUCAACUCACAUACACACAUACAAAUGCAAUCAUAAAUGCACAAUUACAGAUAUGCAUACACAGAUAGAAGAAUGAAUACUUAUAGCUCCAUAUAUGCAAAAAUACACAGACAUACUUAAAGACACACAUGUACAAAUCUACUAAUACAUAUAUAUACACACACACACACACACACACACAUACAUAUAUAUAUAUAUAUAUAUCUAGAUAGAUAUCUUUAUAUAUAUAUAUAUAUAUCAGGGGCGUGCACUCUCAAAUAUGCAAGAUAUGCACUGCAUGCUCUAUGAUUUUUAAUCCAUAUCAUCGGAAAAUUACAUAAAAUAGUUGCUUUGUUCCAAAGAAAAUCUGUCCAGGUGUUUUCGAAAUAUUCUGCCUCCCCUCCCCCUCUCUGAGUGACUUGUACGUCUGCUUUGAGAAGACCCACGUGACAGACACCCCCUCUCUGUCUUUUUGUUAGUAUAUAAUUGUUGCUAACAGCAAUCCCAUAAUUCCUCAGUUAGACAGCUGACAUGGUGGAAGAACUUGGCGGAGCACAGGGAGGAAGCUAGCUUCCACACAGAAUGAAGCUUGGAUCCACAGAAAAUAUUUAACUGUAUUUACAAACAAUGUGUACACACAACAAUGCGACAACAUUUAUUUUAUAUUGUAACGACAUUAUAAUUUAUAUCAAAUAAAUGGCUAUCUUCAUAAUUAA
This is a long non-coding RNA of Octopus bimaculoides (California two-spot octopus), 717 nucleotides long. NCBI's taxonomy places the organism in Eukaryota, Metazoa, Mollusca, Cephalopoda, Octopoda, Octopodidae. The record is from RefSeq and is a predicted model, not a curated record.